CAGAGGGGGCAAGCGUUGUUCGGAAUUACUGGGCGUAAAGGGCGCGUAGGCGGCCUGCUAAGUCGAACGUGAAAUCCCUGGGCUCAACCCAGGAACUGCGUCCGAUACUGGUUGGCUUGAAUCCGGGAGAGGGAUGUGGAAUUCCAGGUGUAGCGGUGAAAUGCGUAGAUAUCUGGAGGAACACCGGUGGCGAAGGCGACAUCCUGGACCGGCAUUGACGCUGAGGCGCGAAAGCCAGGGGAGCAAACGGGAUUAGAUACCCCGGUAGUCCUGGCCCUAAACGAUGAAUGCUUGGUGUGGUGGGUAUCGAUCCCUACGUGCCGAAGCUAACGCAUUAAGCAUUCCGCCUGGGGAUACGGUCGCAAGGCUG
RNAcentral lists this ribosomal RNA (370 nucleotides) under uncultured organism. Its description in RNAcentral is "bacterial SSU rRNA". It matches the Rfam family "Bacterial small subunit ribosomal RNA", at positions 526 to 896 of the family's 1533-position model. The record is from RNAcentral.